GAUGAAGAACGUAGCGAAAUGCGAUACUUGGUGUGAAUUGCAGAAUCCCGUGAACCAUCGAGUUUUUGAACGCAAGUUGCGCCCGAAGCCGUUAGGCCGAGGGCACGCCUGCCUGGGCGUCACACGUCGUUGCCCCCCCAUCUACUCCUUCGGGAUUGCGGGGGGCGGAUGAUGGCCUCCCGUGCGCCUCGUCGCGCGGUUGGCAUAAAUGCCAAGUCCUCGGCGACGCACGCCACGACAAUCGGUGGUUGCGAAACCUCGGUUGCCCGUCGUGUGCGGUCGUCGCGCAUCGAGGGCUCGAAAAAAUUGCCGGGCUCCGGCUCGGCUUUCAACGCGACCCCAGGUCAGGCGGGGUUACCCGCUGAAUUUAAGCAUAUCAAUAAGCGGAGGA
This 391-nucleotide unclassified non-coding RNA is filed under the name soil metagenome. Its description in RNAcentral is "partial contains 5.8S ribosomal RNA, internal transcribed spacer 2, and large subunit ribosomal RNA". The stretch from base 1 to 122 matches the Rfam family "5.8S ribosomal RNA", at positions 35 to 154 of the family's 154-position model. The record is from RNAcentral.